This is a long non-coding RNA of Schistocerca gregaria, 728 nucleotides long. RefSeq lists it as uncharacterized. Lineage: Eukaryota; Metazoa; Arthropoda; Insecta; Orthoptera; Acrididae. The record is from RefSeq and is a predicted model, not a curated record. The transcript has 3 exons.
UGUGUGUCAGUGUAGUGCUUCUUCCCAAAUAAGUGUGUGUAAGUGUAGUGCUUCUUCCCAAAUAAGUGUGUGUCAUUAUAGUGCUUCUUCCCAAAUAAGUGUGAGUCAUUGUAGUGUUUCUUCCCAAAUAAGUGUGUGUCAUUGUAGUGCUUCUUCCAAAAUAAGUGUGUCAGUGUAGUGAUUCUUCCCAAAUAAGUGUGUGUAAGUGUGGAGCUUCUUCGCAAAUAGGUGUGUGUCAGUGUCGUGCUUCUUCCCAAAUAGGUGUGUGUAAGUGUAGUGCUUCUUCCCAAAUAAGUGUGUGUCAUUAUAGUGCUUCUUCCCAAAUACGUGUGUGUCAGUGUAGUGCUUCUUCCCAAAUAAGUGUGUGUCAGUGUGGUGCUUCUUUCCAAAUAAGUGUGAGUCAGUGUAGUGCUUCUUCCCAAAUAAGUGUGUGUAAGUGUCGAGCUUCUUUGCAAAUAUGUGUGAGUCAGUGUAGUGCUUCUUCCCAAAUAAGUGUGUGUCUGUGUAGUGCUUCUUCCCAAAUAAGUGUGUGUCAGUGUAGUGCUUCUUCACAAAUACGUGUGUGUCAGUGUAGUGCUUCUUCCCAAAUAGGUGUGUGUCUGUGUAGUGCUUCUUAACAAAUAGGUGUGUGUCUGUGUAGUGCUUCUUCCCAAAUAGGUUUGUGUCUUCGUAGUGCUUCUUCCCAAAUAGGUGUGUGUCUGUGUCGUGAAUCUUCCCAAAUUGGUGUG